RNAcentral lists this ribosomal RNA (507 nucleotides) under uncultured soil bacterium. RNAcentral describes it as "bacterial SSU rRNA". It matches the Rfam family "Bacterial small subunit ribosomal RNA", at positions 26 to 521 of the family's 1533-position model. The record is from RNAcentral.
AGAGUGAACGCUGGCGGUAGGCCUAACACAUGCAAGUCGAACGGCAGCACAGGAGAGCUUGCUCUCUGGGUGGCGAGUGGCGGACGGGUGAGGAAUACAUCGGAAUCUACCUUUUCGUGGGGGAUAACGUAGGGAAACUUACGCUAAUACCGCAUAAGACCUUCGGGUGAAAGCCGGGGACCUUCGGGCCUGGCGCGGAUAGAUGAGCCGAUGUCGGAUUAGCUUGUUGGCGGGGUAAAAAGCCCACCAAGGCGACGAUCCGUAGCUGGUCUGAGAGGAUGAUCAGCCACACUGGAACUGAGACACGGUCCAGACUCCUACGGGAGGCAGCAGUGGGGAAUAUUGGACAAUGGGCGCAAGCCUGAUCCAGCCAUACCGCGUGGGUGAAGAAGGCCUUCGGUUGUAAACUGCUUUUGUACGGAGCGAAAAGGUCUGCCCUAAUACGGCGGACCCAUGACGGUACCGUAAGAAUAAAGCACCGGCUAACUACGUGCCAGCAGCCGCGGU